This 253-nucleotide ribosomal RNA is filed under the name uncultured bacterium. RNAcentral describes it as "partial 16S ribosomal RNA". It matches the Rfam family "Bacterial small subunit ribosomal RNA", at positions 524 to 776 of the family's 1533-position model. The record is from RNAcentral.
UACGAAGGGUGCUAGCGUUGUUCGGAAUCACUGGGCGUAAAGCGUGCGCAGGCGGCUAUACAAGUCAGGGGUGAAAGCCUGGAGCUUAACUCCAGAAUUGCCUUUGAAACUGUAUAGCUGGAGUCCCGGAAGGGUUGGCGGAAUUCCUAAUGUAGCGGUGAAAUGCGUAGAUAUUAGGAGGAACACCAGUGGCGAAGGCGGCCAACUGGACGGGCACUGACGCUCAUGCACGAAAGCGUGGGGAUCAAACAGG